Molecule: long non-coding RNA, 322 nt
Organism: Numida meleagris (helmeted guineafowl)
Lineage: Eukaryota; Metazoa; Chordata; Aves; Galliformes; Numididae
Exons: 3
Source: RefSeq, a predicted model, not a curated record
GGCUACUCCUGAUAACCUUCUUCUCUUCCAUUUGCUUGGAGAAGACAUCUAGAAUUAGUUGUUCCAUCUCUUUCCCAGAGGCAGAGGAUCUCCACAACUUCUGUUCUGUUUCUCUGAUAUCCACUAGCAAUAACAUUGCUUCUGCUGCGUAAAGCGAGAGGAAGUAUCUGCCCAGAUGUUCUCCCCAGCUGCAGCUUUGCUGGCUGAGAUGGGAAAAAUGGAAACCUGCAGGCCAAGACAAUAACCCGUGGGACACCUGCAGUCACUUUGGACCCAUUCACAUCUCAGUGAGCAGUUUGCCAAGGAGUGUGUGUGGGGGUAG